UAAAUAGACCAGCCGGCUUUGGCUGGCUGCUGUCUUCUUAGAGGGACUAUCAGCGUUUAGCUGAUGGAAGUUUGAGGCAAUAACAGGUCUGUGAUGCCCUUAGAUGUUCUGGGCCG
This 116-nucleotide ribosomal RNA is filed under the name Leucosporidium sp. Its description in RNAcentral is "partial small subunit ribosomal RNA". It matches the Rfam family "Eukaryotic small subunit ribosomal RNA", at positions 1352 to 1489 of the family's 1831-position model. The record is from RNAcentral. Lineage: Eukaryota; Fungi; Basidiomycota; Microbotryomycetes; Leucosporidiales; Leucosporidiaceae.